ACGACUACCCCCUCCCCCAACAUAUGUAAUAAAAAAAAAAAGACAUAAAAAUGCUAGAAUAAUUUAAGUUCAAGCAUAGGCUUGAGUCAUACAAUCAUCAAAAGUUGAUGGUUCGUUGCUCAGAAAUUUAUUCAAUGCUUUAGAAGUAGUGCAUGUGAUACUCAUUUUUUCUUUGCAAUAAACAGGCCCCAUCGCUGCUCACCGGAUGAGCUCCUAAUCAACUUUGCCUUCCAUCCACCAACUAUAUCAUCAUAGUCCUCUUCAGAAAAGUCUUGGAUGAAUUCAUCCUUCUCCUUCUCGACAGCAUUUAAUUCCCGUUGCAGAACUUGAUUAAACUGAUCAGUUCUGUCCUCUGCAAUCACAUCAUCAAAACCAGCAUCCCUAAGCAUCUGCCCAUAUGCUUUUACAUCAUGAAGAUCAUAUCCUCUCUGCUUAAUAUACUCUGAAAAUUCUGGCGAUGGAGUUCCAGCAUUCUUGCAAUAAUCACUUAUAAGAACUUUACCUCCAGGCUUCAACCACUUGAAGAAUGAUCUAAACAAUGCAGGUUUGUCUUGAAUGUGCAGAAUGGUGUCACGGCUGUAGAUAACAUCAAAUGUGUUAUCAGGAUAUGUCUUCUUUGUGCAAUCAGCAACUUCAAACUCAACAUUGCAUUUGAGUCCAAUGGCAGAUUCAAGAGCAAUAGAUAUCAUAUUAAUUGAGAGGUCAAUGCCAACAACUUCCACAUCAAAGUUCUCAGCCAUGUAAAAGUCACCUCCUCCAAUACCACAUCCAACAUCUAGGACUUUCUGGCCAGGCUUAAGAUCCAGC
This 807-nucleotide unclassified non-coding RNA is filed under the name Hevea brasiliensis (rubber tree). Lineage: Eukaryota; Viridiplantae; Streptophyta; Magnoliopsida; Malpighiales; Euphorbiaceae. The record is from RNAcentral.